Molecule: ribosomal RNA, 255 nt
Filed under: uncultured bacterium
Lineage: Bacteria
Description: partial 16S ribosomal RNA
Rfam family: Bacterial small subunit ribosomal RNA
Source: RNAcentral
UACGGAGGGUGCGAGCGUUUGUCCGGAAUCAUUGGGCGUAAAGGGCGCGUAGGUGGCGGGACAAGCGUGCGGUGAAAGCUCGGGGCUCAACCCCGCGUCGGCCGUGCGAACUGUUUUGCUUGAGCACUGUAGAGGCAGGCGGAAUUCCGGGUGUAGCGGUGGAAUGCGUAGAGAUCCGGAGGAACACCAGUGGCGAAGGCGGCUGCCUGGGCCUGGCCUGACGCUGAGGCGCGAAAGCGUGGGGAGCGAGUCCGG